This 234-nucleotide unclassified non-coding RNA is filed under the name uncultured fungus. RNAcentral describes it as "sequence contains ITS1, 5.8S rRNA gene". The stretch from base 186 to 234 matches the Rfam family "5.8S ribosomal RNA", at positions 1 to 49 of the family's 154-position model. The record is from RNAcentral. Lineage: Eukaryota; Fungi.
UCUCCGUUGGUGAACCAGCGGAGGGAUCAUUAUAGAGUUUUCUAAACUCCCAACCCUUUGUGAACUUACCUUUGUUGCCUCGGCGGGUUCUGCCUCCCAUCUCGGGAGCAGGCUCAAGCCCGCCGGUGGCCCAACUAAACUCUUGUAUUAUUUGUUAUCUGAGAGUUAUUUUUAAAAUAAGUCAAAACUUUCAACAACGGAUCUCUUGGUUCUGGCAUCGAUGAAGAACGCAGC